Molecule: ribosomal RNA, 843 nt
Filed under: Penicillium sp.
Lineage: Eukaryota; Fungi; Ascomycota; Eurotiomycetes; Eurotiales; Aspergillaceae
Description: partial large subunit ribosomal RNA
Rfam family: Eukaryotic large subunit ribosomal RNA
Source: RNAcentral
CGGCGAGUGAAGCGGCAAGAGCUCAAAUUUGAAAGCUGGCUCCUUCGGGGUCCGCAUUGUAAUUUGCAGAGGAUGCUUCGGGAGCGGUCCCCAUCUAAGUGCCCUGGAACGGGCCGUCAUAGAGGGUGAGAAUCCCGUCUGGGAUGGGGUGCCCGCGCCCGUGUGAAGCUCCUUCGACGAGUCGAGUUGUUUGGGAAUGCAGCUCUAAUUGGGUGGUAAAUUUCAUCUAAAGCUAAAUAUUGGCCGGAGACCGAUAGCGCACAAGUAGAGUGAUCGAAAGAUGAAAAGCACUUUGAAAAGAGAGUUAAACAGCACGUGAAAUUGUUGAAAGGGAAGCGCUUGCGAUCAGACUCGCCCGCGGGGUUCAGCCGGCAUUCGUGCCGGUGUACUUCCCCGUGGGCGGGCCAGCGUCGGUUUGGGCGGCCGGUCAAAGGCCCCUGGAAUGUAACGCCUCUCGGGGCGUCUUAUAGCCAGGGGUGCCAUGCGGCCUGCCCGGACCGAGGAACGCGCUUCGGCUCGGACGCUGGCAUAAUGGUCGUAAGCGACCCGUCUUGAAACACGGACCAAGGAGUCUAACAUCUACGCGAGUGUUCGGGUGUCAAACCCGUGCGCGCAGUGAAAGCGAACGGAGGUGGGAACCCCCCGGGGUGCACCAUCGACCGAUCCUGAUGUCUUCGGAUGGAUUUGAGUAAGAGCGUAGCUGUUGGGACCCGAAAGAUGGUGAACUAUGCCUGAAUAGGGCGAAGCCAGAGGAAACUCUGGUGGAGGCUCGCAGCGGUUCUGACGUGCAAAUCGAUCGUCAAAUUUGGGUAUAGGGGCGAAAGACUAAUCGAACCAUCUAGU